Molecule: long non-coding RNA, 670 nt
Organism: Pseudoliparis swirei
Lineage: Eukaryota; Metazoa; Chordata; Actinopteri; Perciformes; Liparidae
Exons: 2
Source: RefSeq, a predicted model, not a curated record
CCUGUGAGACCUCCUCCUCCUCCUCCUCCUCCUGUGAGACCUCCUCCUCCUGUGAGACCUCCUCCUGUGAGACCUCCUCCUCCUCCUCCUUCUGUGAGACCUCCUCCUCCUCCUCCUGUGAGACCUCCUCCUCCUGGCGACUCGGACGGCUUACCCCGGACCCUGAACCCGGACCUGGACCUGGACCUGGACCUGGACUCGGACCUGGACCUGGACUCGGACCUGAACCCGGACCUGGAUCUGGACCUGAACCUGGACCUGAACCCGGACCUGGACCUGAACCUGGACCUGGACCUGGACCUGGACUCGGACCUCCUGAAGGUUAAUACCUGCCGGACGUGAAGAGGAGCCCACAGAUCCAGGGAGGAAGAGGCUCCUCCCCCUGCUGGUUGAUGGGGAGCACUCACCUGCACCUGGUCCUGCUCGGACCACAAGAGUGCCCGUGAGGUCCAGAGUGCCCGUGAGGUCCAGAGUGCCCGUGAGGUCCAGAGUGCCCGUGAGGUCCAGAGUGCCCGUGAGGUCCAGAGUGCACGUGAGAGUAUUACAUCCAUAACUUCCAGACGGAUGACAUGAAGGUUCUUCAUGAAUUAAGAGUUGAAUGUUUUAUUUUAAGUCUUCUUUGUUCUCAUGCUAACAUGCUAAUGUGCAAAUAAAUAAACAAAUAAAAGUC